ACACGGGGAGGAGAGAGGAGGGCACACACGGAAGCAGCUGAAGCGGUUCUGUGUCCCUGAAACAGAAACAUGUGAAAGUUUCGCGUUUCGGAUGUUUGGAAGUUUGUUCAGACUUCGCGAGGAACAGCUAAUGCUGUAAAUAACACUACGGAGAUUUCUUGAACAAUUGUUUUUGACAGCGCCCGAUCUUCAGCUCAGCACCAUUGUCUGCUUCACCAUGCCGCUGGUGGUGGAUGCCAUGUGGGCACUGUGGAGCAUUGGGGCUGGCAUCUAUGACUACUUCCACACCAGUGCCAUGGAGGAGCGGAUCCAUACGCUGGAAAACGCCCUCACUAUCCAUCAGUUUGUGAUCACAGCUCUGUCGGCAGGCUUCAUCCUGCUCAUGAUGUACAUACUGUGGAGAAAAUACUAAAAUGUCUCCUGGGCUACACCAACCAAGGCCCGGCAUCCACUAAAUACCUUUCAGUACACAGGCAAGUUUCCACCCAGAUGUUGGGAAGAGACAGUUUUUUUGCACAGCACAAAAUGUAUGCUGCUCAUACAUGAAGAUUAAACAUGUUCAGUCGGGACAUCCUGAUCAAGGUCAGGAGACAGGCGGGCAGCAAAACAAAAGGAAAAAAGAAGCUUCAUGAGGACUUGUUGUCUCUGAGAACUUGAUUUGUUGUGUCUCACUGUGUUUUGGAUGUUAAACUGGCCUGAGGUUAUUUAAAGACCAUUCAUCCAUCAUCAAUACCUCAUAAUCUUGGACGGUUGCAGGGGGAGCUGGAGCCAUUCCUAGCUGAUAGUGGGGGUAUACAGUACAUGGACAGACAUUAACCCCAAAUAGAGAUGCAAUUUUGCACUUUAACAUUUUCUGGUGCCAAGCUUGAAGGUCUUUUUUGUCUAGUUGAUAAUAUUCUGAGGUUAUGCCCAUAACCUAACACACCUUAUCAAUGUGUUUUGUCAAAAUUGAUGAUCAAACUUUAGUAGGAUGACCAAGAAAAACCAUGUAAAUGCUAAAACAAGCACAAAGUCACAAUAGCAAUCUAAUCUGAAGAUCCAUAAAAAGAAGACAAAUUGUAGCGAUCACAUGGGCAACUUCAGGCUACUAAUUGCCAUGCAAACAGAAGAGACUAGUUUUUACAAACUUAUAUUUAUUUAAAAUAACCACAUUUUUAAAUUGUAUUGAUUCCCGUAAAUUGACGUAAUUAUCUGCCUAUUAUACAUUGUAAUCAUGAUUUAAUCACCUCUGCCCUGAGAUAACAAAGGGCCUUAAACAAUCUCCACCUCUUUGGUGACUCAAUUUUCCAGAGCUGUGAGGAGUCAUGUGCUGAGAAUCCAGUCUAGACACACUGUAACCUAGAUUUUGACUUUAAUCCAGAGCUACAGCGAGAGAGAGAAGUGUCGCAAGAAGGCAUAACGUAAACAUUCACACAGUUCUUGAGAAAAUCCUAAGUGUUUUCUUGCAACAAAACAUACCAUAGUCAUGUUUAGGAGUUUACACAGAAGCUACUGCAAUUAAUGAAGUGGAAGAUUUCUAUUAUUGUGUUCCAGUUGCCUCUAAAGUCGGUACUUUUUAUGACAUACGAGGACUUGAGGAGUUUAUGCAAAUUGGGCAACUUGGAAUUACAACUUUAGGGGGCGCUCUAAUUGAACCUUCCUCCUAAUUAGGAAUGCACUAUUAUUCUACAAGGUCCAGUAUGUAUGGAUGAGUCGCCUCUAGUGGUGAGACUGCAGAUUGCAACAAACUGAUGAGGACUCCUAUGCCCACCUUUUAAUUUAGUCAGGGAACUAUAGUGGCCUUUGCAUUCUAGAAAGGAUAUAAACACUCUUUCACAACUCUUCCACUCUCUGCUUCUUCCUCAUCCUUCAUUAAUGCAUCAGGUCUAUGUGGACGUUCUGCUACGUUUGCUGUCGCUUCUGGACGAUGGUGGCACUCGUUAAGAAAGGCCUUUGCCUCAAGUUCAUAGUAAAGGCUUAUUUUAAAUCACUGGGAAAAAAAAACUGCCACUAUAGCCUCCCAAAUGUUACACACUGCACGUUUAACGAAAUUAGCAUAGUAAAUGAGGUGAUAAUAUUGAAAAGUUGGGUUGUGAAUAAGUUCGUGGACGAACAGUUUAAAUUCUAGGUUAUAGGUGGAUGUGACUAAUUUUUUAUUGUUACGGUGAAGCAGAAAAUAUCCAAGAGAUGCCUUUAUCUGCUGUGGUUUGCACUUAUUCUGGUAGCAGGUUGAAAACAAUUACAUUCAUAUUGUGUGUGUGUGUGUUUAUUAGUCUAUAGCGCAAGUUUCCUGACUAAUUGUUUUAAAUGUGGUCAAGUAAUGUAAUCAAACAUGUAGGUCACUUUUUGAUCCUGUUGUACUUUGUCGGUGCACAGUACCAACCACUAACAUGGCUACUACUAAAGGGAAUGUGUUCAGAGCUCAGAGCCACGUGUUUUUAAUUGUGCCCUUUUUGUUCACAUCAUGGUUAAUGAGUUGUAUUUAAAUAAAAUAAUUUAAAACAA
Molecule: long non-coding RNA, 2484 nt
Organism: Solea senegalensis (Senegalese sole)
Lineage: Eukaryota; Metazoa; Chordata; Actinopteri; Pleuronectiformes; Soleidae
Exons: 2
Source: RefSeq, a predicted model, not a curated record